CGGAGGAAAAGAAACUAACAAGGAUUCCCCUAGUAGCGGCGAGCGAAGCGGGAAAAGCCCAAUAUGAAAAUCCAGUUUACUGGAGUUGUAUCGUCUUCUUUUGGGGUUUCAGUGCGAGUAAGUAGCAUGGAAAUGCUCACCGAGGAGGGUUAGAGUCCCGUCCAGCUCGUUCAGGAAGUUCCGCACAAAAGUUGACAAGUGAGUCGGGUAGCUUGGGACUGCUGCUCUAACUGGUGGUAAAUCUCAUCAAAGGCUAAAUAACGGUGGGAGACCGAUAGUGAACAAGUACCGCGAGGGAAAGAUGACAAGCACUUUGAAAAGAGGGUGAAAAGAGCCUGAAACCGUUACGAGGGAAGCGGAUUGCGUUGGAGUAUGGCUUGCUACAUGUUCAGCCGUUGCGGUGUACUCAUGUGAGCGGUUAUCCGUUGUGGCUUUUCUGCGGCGUUGCUGCGGGAGGGUGAGGGCUCCCCUGGAUGGGUGAGGACGACGGUGUGACGACGCGAUACGACCCGUCUUGAAACACGGACCAAGGAGUCUAGCACUAUUGCGAGUCGAAGGGUUUAAACCCGUGGGCGCAGUGAAAGCGAACUGUUAAGAAAACGAGCAGUUUGGGGCGGCAUAAAAUCGUUGAUUUUAAGACUGACCUGGAGCAGUUGUGCUGGGACCCGAAAGAUGGUGAACUAUGCCGGAGUAGGGCAAAGCCAGAAGAAAUUCUGGUGGAGGCUCGUAGCGGUGCUGACGUGCAAAUCGCUCGUCGAACUUGGGUAUAGGGGCGAAAGACUCAUCGAACCAUCUAGUAGCUGGUUCCCUCCGAAGUUUCUCUCAGGAUAGCGGGCCGACGGACGUUGUUUUGUGCGGUAAAGCGAAUGAUUAGCGUAUUUGGGGGCAUUUGGUCUUCGGGCGAUUCUCAAACUUUAAAUGCGCAAGGGUGCCGCUGCUUUGGUGAGCGGUACCGAUAAAAACGUCGGCCUCGUGGGCCACUUUUGGUAAGCAGAACUGGCGAUACGGGAUGAACCGUAAGCAUGGUUAAGGCGCCAAAUUGCCCGCUUAUAGAUCCCACAAAAGGUGUUGAUUCAUCGAGACAGCAGGACGGUGGCCAUGGAAGUCGGAAUCCGCCAAGGAGUGUGUAACAACUCACCUGCCGAAUGAAUUAGCCCUGAAAAUGGAUGGCGCUAAAGCGGGCAGCCGACACCAUGCCGUCUGUUUAAGGUAGACAGCAGAUGAGUAGGAGGGCGUGGUGGCCGUAUCGAAGCGUGCGUGCGAACGCGUGUGGAACGGCCACUAGUGCAGAUCUUGGUGGUAGUAGCAAAUAUUCAAGCGAGAUCCUUGAAGGGCGAAGCGGGGAAGGGUUCCACGCGAACAUUGAUUGGGCGUGGGUGAGUCGUUCCUAAGCCGGGUGGUCAUUGCUGAAUAACGGCGAAAGGGAAGCGGGUUUAAAUUCCCGCACACGGAUGUGGAGGCGGCGACGCUUUUUUUGUUGGGGCGAAGACGCUGGCGGUGGCGCUGGGCAGAGAUGUCUUUUCUGUUUAACCGUGUUGGGCGCGGUGUGGAAUCCGCUUGUCGGGAGAAACACGCGCGGGAGGUAAGAGCGCCGGGAGUUUUCCGGCGUCCAGCUCGCCAUCGACGGCCCUUGAAAAUUUGCCUGCUGGAAGGAUCCACGCCGUGGCGUACCGAUAACCGCAUCAGGUCCCCAAGGUGAACAGCCUCUGUCCGGUAUGAGUAAUGCAGGUAAGGGAAGUCGGCAAAUUGGACCCGUAACUUUGGGAAAAGGGUUGGCUCUAGUGCUGCGUGGGAGUGGUUGUCCGUUGUUGGCCGUGGUUGGCUAGCUGGGCGGGCUGCGAGGCGAGUUGUUCCCCUUUGCGUUUGUGAGGGGGGGGGGCGAGUGUUUGCGGCUUGGCUGGUGGGCCGGUGCGAUCGCUGCGGACGGCGCCCACGGUGUGCGGCAGACUAGAACUGCAACGGGCAGGGGGAAUCCGACUGUUUAAUUAAAACAAAGCAUUGCGAGGGCCGUGGGUGGUGAUGACGCAAUGUGAUUUCUGCUCAGUGCUCUGAAUGUCAAAGUGAAGAGAUUCAAGAAAGCGCGGGUAAACAGCGGGAGUAACUAUGACUCUCUUAAGGUAGCCAAAUGCCUCGUCAUCUAAUUAGUGACGCGCAUGAAUGGAUUAACGAGAUUCCUACUGUCCCUAUCUGCUUCUAGCGAAACGACAGCCGAGGGAACGGGCUCGGCGGAAUCGGCGGGGAAAGAAGACCCUGUUGAGCUUGACUCUAUUCUAAGUUUGUGAAGCAAGCUGGGAGGUGUAGCAUAGGUGGGAGGCGGGAGCCGGGCUUGAAAUACCACUACUCCCAGUCUUGCUUUACUUAGUGGGUGGGGGUGGGAAGGUCCCUGGGAAAGUGAAAAUUUUGCGGGGGUUUGUUCUGGAGCCAACUUGUGCGUGAGUGCGAGGACCACAGCCCAGUACACAUUUAGGAGGGGAGUUUGGCUGGGGCGGUACAUCUUCUACAAGACAACGAAGGUGUCCAAAGAUAAGCUCAGUGAGAACAGAAAUCUCACGUGGCGCAAAAGGGUAAAAGCUUGUUUGAUUUUGAUUUUCAGUGCGAGUCAAAACCGCGAAAGCGUGGCCUAUCGAUCCUUUCGAUGUUCGGGAUUUGAAGCGAGAGGUGUCAGAAAAGUUACCACAGGGAUAACUGGCUUGUGGCGGCCAAGCGUUCAUAG
RNAcentral lists this ribosomal RNA (2713 nucleotides) under Asteromenia poeciloderma. Its description in RNAcentral is "partial 28S ribosomal RNA". It matches the Rfam family "Eukaryotic large subunit ribosomal RNA", at positions 51 to 2857 of the family's 3401-position model. Lineage: Eukaryota; Rhodophyta; Florideophyceae; Rhodymeniales; Hymenocladiaceae. The record is from RNAcentral.